Molecule: long non-coding RNA, 1293 nt
Filed under: Malus domestica (apple)
Lineage: Eukaryota; Viridiplantae; Streptophyta; Magnoliopsida; Rosales; Rosaceae
Description: long non-coding RNA (MDOM_LNC016821)
Source: RNAcentral
UUGUGAUUAUAAGAUUGUAACUAUUAGGUGAAACUCCCUCAUAAUCUAGCAUCAUAUUUAUGCAUGAAAACUAAGCGUGCACUCUCAAUCAACAUACACAAAUAAGUUAUCAAUCAAAUAGAUGAACGAAUUGAAUUCACAACUUAUGAAAUAACAACUGAAUAUAAUCAAAUCAUAUUGCAAGCAUGUACAUGGUUUCGAAUUACCCCCCAACUAAGGGGGUUUAGUUCCUCAUACUCACAACAUAAAGUUUAUUGAAUUGAAACAUCGAAGACAUAAGAAAGAUUACACCUAAAACGCCCAAGAAUUCCACUUUGAAUUUCUGACUUCAAGCUCCUCUUUCUUCUUCUCCUUGCUGCGGCAGAGAGUGUUUUGGGUGUUUUUGGAUGUGGUUUUGGGUUGAGAAGGGAAUUAGGAUGGUAUGGUGGUGCGGCAAGGAGUGGGGAUGGUGUAUGGAGGUGUAGGAUGGUGGCUAGAGGUGUAGAAUGGUGUAUGGAGGUGGAUGAAGGCUGCGGCAAGGAUGGGAAUUGGCUGGAAUGAAUGAUGGUGGCUGCGGCAAGGUGGAUUAGGGUGAUGGACGAUUUCUGAUUUUUAGAAUGGGAGGUUAAUGGUGCGGCUACGUGUAGAACACAUAUAUAUAGGCACCUAAAACCCUAAUGAAAUCAGAUUGGGCUAGGGUUAGGUGCGGCAUGGGCUUAGGAGAGAUGGAUUAGGGUUUAAUCAUGGCAGAAUUUCAGUGAUUAGGCCCUAGGAUGCGGCAUGGGCUUAGGGUCCACAAGGAAUUAGGGUUUAAGUCAUCUAAAAGCCCAAAGCCAAGAAUAGAAACUCACGAAAAUGGAAACCUCCAAGAAUAGAAACUUCCAACUUUUAGAAACUUUGGUUGCCAAUUCCGAUUUAGGAAAGAUCAACCCAAAAUGGAAACUUUUAGGCUUAGCUUUCCUACUUCAAGUAGGAAACCUCAAAUCUUCAACUCUUCAAUUUCAUCCCAACCUUGUGUUCCAAGCAUGUCCUUUUCAAUCCAAGCUCACUUUUUGCUCCAAAAGCUCCAAAUUGCAUCAUUUCAUGUAAUAUGUCCUUUAAACCUGAAAACACAUGAAAGUAGCUUAAAAGACUACUUUAACGAAGAAAACAUAACGAAAAUGCAUAAGAACUAGCUAACUAAGGCGCAUAAAUAUGCUCCUAUCACUAGUGAGCUCCAAAAAGGCCUCGUGCUAGGUAGAGAUGGGAAUAUACAUAUAAGGCUUACAGGAUCCACUUCCAUGGGCGAUGUGGGAUGUCACAAUCCACCCCCCU